Molecule: ribosomal RNA, 484 nt
Filed under: uncultured bacterium
Lineage: Bacteria
Description: partial 16S ribosomal RNA
Rfam family: Bacterial small subunit ribosomal RNA
Source: RNAcentral
AUUGAACGCUGGCGGAAUGCUUUACACAUGCAAGUCGAGCGGCAGCGCGGCCUUCGGGCUGGCGGCGAGCGGCGAACGGGUGAGUAAUGCAUCGGAACAUGCCCAGUCGUGGGGGAUAACACUUCGAAAGAAGUGCUAAUACCGCAUACGUCCUGAGGGGGAAAGCGGGGGAUCGCAAGACCUCGCGCGAUUGGAGUGGCCGAUGUCAGAUUAGCUAGUUGGUGGGGUAAAGGCCUACCAAGGCGACGAUCUGUAGCUGGUCUGAGAGGAUGAUCAGCCACACUGGGACUGAGACACGGCCCAGACUCCUACGGGAGGCAGCAGUGGGGAAUUUUGGACAAUGGGGGCAACCCUGAUCCAGCCAUUCCGCGUGAGUGAAGAAGGCCUUCGGGUUGUAAAGUUCUUUCGGCAGGAACGAAACGGUGGGCUCUAACAUAGUCCGCUAAUGACGGUACCUGAAGAAGAAGCACCGGCUAACUACGUG